Molecule: ribosomal RNA, 408 nt
Filed under: uncultured bacterium
Lineage: Bacteria
Description: partial 16S ribosomal RNA
Rfam family: Bacterial small subunit ribosomal RNA
Source: RNAcentral
GAUGAACGCUGGCGGCGUGCUUAACACAUGCAAGUCGAACGAAGUGGCGAACGGGUGAGUAACACGUGGGCAACCUACCCUUUUCUUUGGAAUAACUCGUGGAAACACGUGCUAAUACCAAAUAGAAAAGGAUGGGCCCGCGGUCCAUUAGCUUGUUGGCGGGGUAACGGCCCACCAAGGCUGCGAUGGAUAGCCGGGUUGAGAGACCGACCGGCCACAUUGGGACUGAGACACGGCCCAGACUCCUACGGGAGGCAGCAGUGGGGAAUUUUGCGCAAUGGGGGAAACCCUGACGCAGCAACGCCGCGUGCGGGAUGAAGGCCUUCGGGUUGUAAACCGCUUUCAGUAGGGAAGCGGUACCUACACAAGAAGCUCCGGCUAAAUACGUGCCAGCAGCCGCGGUAAUUC